GCGGGUGGGACCCACAGCGAAUGGUUCAUCAAGUCUUCAAAAAAGAAUAUAUACGAUUGCAUUGCAUAUACUAACGGAUGCGAUCAUACCAGCACUAAUGCACCGGAUCCCAUCAGAACUCUGCAGUUAAGCGUGCUUGGGCGAGAGUAGUACUAGGAUGGGUGACCUCCCGGGAAGUCCUCGUGUUGCAUCCCUCUUUUAUGUUUAACC
RNAcentral lists this ribosomal RNA (210 nucleotides) under Arabidopsis thaliana (thale cress). Lineage: Eukaryota; Viridiplantae; Streptophyta; Magnoliopsida; Brassicales; Brassicaceae. The record is from RNAcentral.